RNAcentral lists this ribosomal RNA (279 nucleotides) under uncultured bacterium. RNAcentral describes it as "partial 16S ribosomal RNA". It matches the Rfam family "Bacterial small subunit ribosomal RNA", at positions 28 to 309 of the family's 1533-position model. The record is from RNAcentral.
GACGAACGCUGGCGGCGUGCUUAACACAUGCAAGUCGAGCGGUAAGGCCCUUUCGGGGGUACACGAGCGGCGAACGGGUGAGUAACACGUGGGUGACCUGCCCUUACGCUCUGGGAUAAGCCUGGGAAACUGGGUCUAAUACCGGAUAUGACUCCAUAACGCAUGUUGUGGGGUGGAAAGCCUUGUGCGGCUAGGGAUGGCCCGCGCCUAUCAGCUUGUUGGUGGGGUGAUGGCCACCAAGGCGACGACGGGUAGCCGGCCGUGAGAGGGCGACCGGCC